RNAcentral lists this ribosomal RNA (644 nucleotides) under uncultured eukaryote. RNAcentral describes it as "eukaryotic LSU rRNA". The stretch from base 238 to 392 matches the Rfam family "5.8S ribosomal RNA". The record is from RNAcentral.
UUCCGUAGGUGAACCUGCGGAAGGAUCAUUCACACGCAUCAACAAUCUCACUGUGAACUUCCUUUGUGAGCUCUUGCGCGGGGAUAGGGGCAGUAGCCGCUUCCUGGUCAUUAGUUCGCGGGUAGUGGAGCAGAAUCGGACUGUCUUCUUUUGCUGCGAAACUACCGUUAUUCUUGCAACAUGUGUGUUUCUCACUCGUACUUUCUGGUGGCUUUGUCCACUCUUUGCAUCAAACACAACUUUCAGCGACGGAUGUCUCGGCUCGAACAACGAUGAAGGGCGCAGCGAAGUGUGAUAAGCAUUGUGAAUUGCAGAAUUCCGUGAACCAAUAGGGAUUUGAACGUAUACUGCGCUUUCGGGACAUCCCUGAAAGCAUGCCUGCUUCGGUGUCUAUUGAUAUUCCUGCCUUUGACGUGUGCUCAGUAUUCGCUUGGCACUGUCAGAUGUGCGUGUUUGUGUGUCAAAGUGCUUUGUGCCUUUGACGCAUUCAGUGCAUAGGUGCUGUCCACAACGAUCAACUUAAUUAGCACUUUCAGUGUAUUGUGUUGUUCUGUUGUUGGUCGCCUGCCUGCUCCACCUUGUCCUUGCGAUAUUAUUCAAGACAUGAAGUUAGGUCAGCAAACCCGCUGAAUUUAAGCAUAUCA